This 222-nucleotide long non-coding RNA is filed under the name Fukomys damarensis (Damara mole-rat). Its description in RNAcentral is "lncRNA (ENSFDAG00000024293.1)". The record is from RNAcentral. Lineage: Eukaryota; Metazoa; Chordata; Mammalia; Rodentia; Bathyergidae.
UGCCUGAAUGUCUUUAAGAGGUGUGAUGAAAAUUAUGAUGAAUGCCACUGCUGUAUGCCGUCCAACAGAAAGGCGGCUUGUGGAAACACGACACCGUGUCCUCCUCCACCGUGUUUGUCAGAUCUACACUGUAUGACUUCUGGCUCUGCCCCAAAGUCACAAUCCCAUGAAAGCCAGGCCUGACUGCCUUCUGCACAGGGCCGAUAGCAACACAGAGGGGAC